This 1222-nucleotide unclassified non-coding RNA is filed under the name Leishmania donovani. RNAcentral's name for it is "gene:LdHU3.34.6450(CDS-product:nucleolar_protein_ family_a_putative)". Lineage: Eukaryota; Euglenozoa; Kinetoplastea; Trypanosomatida; Trypanosomatidae. The record is from RNAcentral.
GCAACGCCGCUUCGCACUGCCUCCACGUACACAAAACCGUAAGUUGCAGCAGCUUCACGUGGAGUUGAGGAAUUAUGCCCCGAGGAUUCGGAGGACGUGGCGGUGGUGACCGCGGUGGUGGAAGCCGCGGCUUUGGAGGCCCCCGUGGCGGCCGCGGUGGCGGCGGUCGAGGUGGCGGCCGUGGCGGUCACAUGUCCGAGCCUGACCCGCCGGAGAACGUGGAGGAGGUCGGCACCUUCAUGAACGCCGCAGAGGGCGAAUUAGUUUACAGGGUUACGGCGCACGGUGUGGUGCCGCGCUUCAACGCCUUUGUGUACACCGAAAAUAAGGCGAAAAUCGGCAAAAUUGAGGAGAUUCUCGGGAACACAACGGAUGUCAUGUUUUCCGUGAAACCAUCGCCAGGCGUGCAGGCGGCGUCCCUCAGCGAGGGCGAUAAAGUGUACAUUUCCCCUACGCAGUUUACGCCUCUCCGUGUCUUCACCGAACCACCGAAGCCGCGCGGUCGUGGUGGUCGUGGUGGCCGUGGCGGUGGCCGCGGCGCCGACCGUGGUGGUCGCGGCGGGUUCGGCGGUCGCGGCAGCUUCGGCGGCAUGGGUGGCGGCCGAGGCAGCUUCGGUGGCGGCCGAGGCAGCUUCGGUGGCGGCCGAGGCAGCUUCGGUGGCGGUGGCCGUGGAAGCUUCGGUGGCCGUGGUGGUGGCCGUGGUUUUGAUGGUCGUGGUCGCGGGCACUAGACAACGCCUCUGUGGCCUGCGAGUUGCUAAGGACGUGAGAAUCGUCCCACGCCAUCCCUCUCGCAUCGAGCACUGCUUCACGCACAAUUUCAAGACCCCACUCGCACACAUCGACAGGUGCAGAGAUGUCCUACGCACCUCGGCGCAAUCGGAUUACGUGAGAAGGGGUGACGAAGCAAUCCAAGGAUAAUAGCGGACUCUCAGAAAAGGGACGUGUCUGUCUCUGUGUGCACGAAUGCGCCGGUAUGUGUUCGCGCGCGAUGGCAGACAGUGACCAUGCGAGAGCGGCUAAAGCAAUGACAGGUGUGCCACGCAAUGGCGACGCGAGGGGAAGGAAAAGACACGACAGAGAGGCACAGGAGCAUAAUUGUGCGCAAGCAAGCAUGUACCGUCCCUUUUUCCCUCUUUCUUCUUCGGUUUGGGAGGAGCCUUAAUCGUAAUCAGCUCGAUCGCUGACAUAACCGUUUGAUGUGGUGUAAAAAGGCAAACAG